AGCACGCCCUGUAACCAGCAGCGAGAUCGACUUCCAAGCAGUUCGGGCCAGAUGAUCCAUCCGGGCGGGAACACACUUUCUCACAAACAGCAGAGGAGCAUAACACAAAAGCAGCAGCAGCGCAACAGCCAGAUUGACAGGAGCGGGGAAGACGACGUGGGCCGUUUCAGGUGUAGCCAACCAGGCGUGGGGUGCUGGGGAAGGUCUUGCGCAUCCCCAUGCACUUCUCCUUGUCAAUGAAGAGGGAGUUGGCCUUCACCAGGAGGUCAUGCUCCAGCCUCGCCUUGUUGAGGAUCAGCAGCUGAAGAGUGUCUUGGGCUUCGCGCAAGCGGAGCUUCAGAGUCUGCAGUGUGUCGUCGAUGGUGAAAACUUCAUUGACCAGCCUGAAUGGAAAGGUGGAAACCAGUUACCCCUUUUGGAACGCCAACUCCAUCUAGUAUUAUUAUUUUUUAUUGAAAUAAUCUUUCAUCCAAGAAGUCUUUCAAAGUGGCUUAGCGAAUCCAUGAAAAAUAAUACAAAUAGAUUCAAGAACAAUGAAAAAGGAGCAGAAAACUCGGCACAAAAGCGCAACAGUAACAAUAGAGCUGUAGCUCAGUGGUAGAGCAUCUGCUCUGCAUGCAGAAAGCCUCAUCUUCAACCCUAGUGCUCCUCCAGGUAGUACCAGGGCUGGAAAGGAUGCCUGCCUGAAACCUUGGAGAGCCAUAAACUAGUAACUGAAAGCCAAACAAUAUGUUACAUUAAAUGCCUCAUUUGCCACCCACCCCUUUAAAAAAAAAAGGUUAAACAGCAGAUGCAGGUGGCUGAUCAGGAUUGGGACCUGUGCUGCACAGGAGGGAUAUUUAAUCCUUUUCUAUUUUAUGAUUCUGUUUUUUGUGUGGGUUUUUCGCUCCUUUCAUUUGUUGUUUUGUUAUUAAUCAUACUAAUUUUUUUAUUUUGUAAACCACCUUGAGAAAAUUAUAUUUUUAAAGGUCAA
Hemicordylus capensis (graceful crag lizard) is the source of this 973-nucleotide long non-coding RNA. RefSeq lists it as uncharacterized. Lineage: Eukaryota; Metazoa; Chordata; Lepidosauria; Squamata; Cordylidae. The transcript has 2 exons. The record is from RefSeq and is a predicted model, not a curated record.